This 425-nucleotide ribosomal RNA is filed under the name uncultured bacterium. RNAcentral describes it as "bacterial SSU rRNA". It matches the Rfam family "Bacterial small subunit ribosomal RNA", at positions 354 to 796 of the family's 1533-position model. The record is from RNAcentral.
GUGGGGAAUAUUGCACAAUGGGGGAAACCCUGAUGCAGCAACGCCGCGUGAGUGAUGACGGUCUUCGGAUUGUAAAGCUCUGUCUUCAGGGACGAUAAUGACGGUACCUGAGGAGGAAGCCACGGCUAACUACGUGCCAGCAGCCGCGGUAAUACGUAGGUGGCAAGCGUUGUCCGGAUUUACUGGGCGUAAAGGGAGCGUAGGCGGACUUUUAAGUGGGAUGUGAAAUACCCGGGCUCAACCUGGGUGCUGCAUUCCAAACUGGAGGUCUAGAGUACAGGAGGGGAAAGCGGAAUUCCUAGUGUAGCGGUGAAAUGCGUAGAGAUUAGGAAGAACACCGGUGGCGAAGGCGGCUUUCUGGACUGUAACUGACGCUGAGGCUCGAAAGCGUGGGUAGCGAACAGGAUUAGAAACCCUAGUAGUCC